Telopea speciosissima is the source of this 303-nucleotide long non-coding RNA. RefSeq lists it as uncharacterized. Lineage: Eukaryota; Viridiplantae; Streptophyta; Magnoliopsida; Proteales; Proteaceae. The record is from RefSeq and is a predicted model, not a curated record. The transcript has 2 exons.
GAAGCAAGAUCUGAUAAAUAGAUCUCUAUUGGGUUUUCCUUUUCUUGCACUUUAGUUUACAUGUGUCAAGGCCUGCUGAAGUGAAGAAACGGAGAAGAAAUUUUAGUGGCAAAAAGAUUCCACAUUAUUCCAUUUCUGGAGUAGCAACUAGCAAGAGAGGUGGAGGGUUUUUCUGUAAAUCUGCUGUGUCGGUUAGUGGGGUUGGACUUUGGAGGGUUUCAGAGUGACCCAUGUGAAAAAAGGAUCUUUCUUGACACAAGACUCCGUCGUGUAAUAGACUCGUGUCAUGGGGUAGUGGUGGGU